Molecule: long non-coding RNA, 869 nt
Organism: Homo sapiens (human)
Lineage: Eukaryota; Metazoa; Chordata; Mammalia; Primates; Hominidae
Source: Ensembl
UAUAAGAGGAGGAAGAGAGACCUGAGCUAGCAUGCUCAGCCCCCUCACCCCCUGUGCUACCUUGGGACUCUGCAGAGUCCUCGACAGUAAGAAGGCUCUCACCUGUUAUGCCCCUGGACCUUGGACUUCUCAGCCUCCAUAACUGGUGCCUGUGCAGCAGUAUUCACUGUGAUAGGAAGUGAGAAGCAGUCUGAGUGUUCAUUGCUGAGGGAAUCAAGGGCAAAAUAUCAUGGAUGCACUCAUGGACAAAUAAGCAGCAGUUUGAAGCAACAACCUAGAUGGAUGUACAGCCAUCAAGAGGAUCUUAAAGUGUGGUCUUUAGUGGAAAAAAAGGAGGCAGAACUCCAUAGGCUGCCCUCUGGCUUCCAGUGCAGUUUGGUUAUAGGAGGCACCAGCAGGAGGUUGGAGGGUGAGAAGAGACAAGUUGGGGCAUUUCUCCCCCCUGCCAAGUUCAGCUCUUGUCUGACAGCCCACUUUUCACAACUCCAGACCUCACUAGGCUGUGGUCACCCUGACCUCUCCCCUGGACCCUUCUUAGUCCUAGGGGUGUUAACAGCUUCCUGCUAUUGCUGAUGCUAAGGUUACAUUUGAACAUAUUUAUCUGCUAAAGCAAAAUAAUUCCCAUCAUUCUAUAGCAGAAGCAAUGUAUGGGAGACUGAGUAAUUACAUAUAAGCUCACAUCACUAUCUCUUCCACCACUGUCAUCCAUCAUGACUGAUCUGGGAGAUGAAACAGCACAGAUCUAAAGGACGUGGUAAGAAUCGAGAUCACCAGAGAUCAGUAGAUACUUGCAUACUUGCAGGAUUAACACUGUCUGGAUUCCAACGAUCAGCUGAGUAUGUUCAAGAUAAAGCUAUAGUACAUAUUUU